RNAcentral lists this ribosomal RNA (319 nucleotides) under uncultured eukaryote. Its description in RNAcentral is "partial 18S ribosomal RNA". It matches the Rfam family "Eukaryotic small subunit ribosomal RNA", at positions 1470 to 1796 of the family's 1831-position model. The record is from RNAcentral.
CCCUUAGAUGUUCUGGGCUGCACGCGUGCUACAAUGGCGUUUCCAGCAAGUCUGCGAACCCGAGAGGGCCAGCGGAUCUUCGAAUUGGCGUCGUGAUCGGGACAGUCGAUUGCAAUUAUUUGACUCAAACGAGGAAUUCCUUGUAAUCGCGAUUCAUCAUAUCGCGCUGAAUACGUCCCCGCCCUUUGUACACACCGCCCGUCGCUCCUACCGAUUGAGCGAUCCGGUAAAUGUUUUGGAUUGGUGCCGGGGCGGCUAGCUGCCGGUCGCUACGAAAUUUUGUGAACCUUAUCGCUUAGAGGAAGGAAAAGUCGUAACA